AACGAACGCUGGCGGCGCGCCUAAUACAUGCAAGUCGAGCGAGAAGGUGUAGCAAUACACUUGUAAAGCGGCGAACGGGUGAGGAAUACAUGGGUAAUCUACCAUCGAGUGGGGAAUAACCAGCCGAAAGGUUGGCUAAUACCGCGUACGCUUCCGAGUCUUCGGGCUUGGAAGGAAAGCCGCACUGUGAGUGCGGCGCUCUUUGAUGAGCUCAUGUCCUAUCAGCUUGUUGGUAGGGUAACGGCCUACCAAGGCUUUGACGGGUAGCUGGUCUGAGAGGACGAUCAGCCACACUGGCACUGCGACACGGGCCAGACUCCUACGGGAGGCAGCAGUAAGGAAUAUUGCGCAAUGGGCGAAAGCCUGACGCAGCGACGCCGCGUGGGGGAUGAAGGUCUUCGGAUUGUAAACCCCUUUCGGGAGGGAAGAUGGAGCGAGCAAUCGUUCGACGGUACCUCCAGAAGCAGCCACGGCCAACUUCGUGCCAG
RNAcentral lists this ribosomal RNA (488 nucleotides) under uncultured bacterium. Its description in RNAcentral is "bacterial SSU rRNA". It matches the Rfam family "Bacterial small subunit ribosomal RNA", at positions 29 to 511 of the family's 1533-position model. The record is from RNAcentral.